GAGUUUGAUCAUGGCUCAGAUUGAACGCUGGCGGAAUGCUUUACACAUGCAAGUCGAGCGGCAGCGCGGGGCAACCUGGCGGCGAGCGGCGAACGGGUGAGUAAUGUAUCGGAACGUAUCCUUGAGUGGGGGACAACUAGUCGAAAGACUAGCUAAUACCGCAUAAGCUCGGGAGAGGAAAGUGGGGGACCGCAAGGCCUCACGCUGAAGGAGCGGCCGAUAUCCGAUUAGCUAGAUGGUGAGGUAAAGGCUUACCAUGGCUUUGAUCGGUAGCUGGUCUGAGAGGAUGAUCAGCCACACUGGGACUGAGACACGGCCCAGACUCCUACGGGAGGCAGCAGUGGGGAAUCUUGGACAAUGGGCGCAAGCCUGAUCCAGCCAUGCCGCGUGAGUGACGAAGGCCUUAGGGUUGUAAAGCUCUUUUGCCGGGGACGAUAAUGACGGUACCCCGGAGAAUAAGUCCCGGCUAACUUCGUGCCAGCCGCCGCAGUAAC
This 494-nucleotide ribosomal RNA is filed under the name uncultured beta proteobacterium. RNAcentral describes it as "bacterial SSU rRNA". It matches the Rfam family "Bacterial small subunit ribosomal RNA", at positions 9 to 524 of the family's 1533-position model. Lineage: Bacteria; Pseudomonadati; Pseudomonadota; Betaproteobacteria. The record is from RNAcentral.